Orcinus orca (killer whale) is the source of this 13162-nucleotide long non-coding RNA. RefSeq lists it as uncharacterized. The record is from RefSeq and is a predicted model, not a curated record. NCBI's taxonomy places the organism in Eukaryota, Metazoa, Chordata, Mammalia, Artiodactyla, Delphinidae. The transcript is spliced from 16 exons.
GCUGUGCACGGGCUUUCUCUAGUUGCAGCGAGCGGGGUCUACUCUUCGUUGCGGUGCGCGGGCUUCUCAUUGCGGUGGUUUCUCUUGUUGCGGAGCAUGGGCUCUAGGCGUGUGGGCUUCGGUAGUUGUGGCGCAUGGGAUUAGUUGCUCCGCGGCAUGUAGGAUCUUCCUGGACCAGGGCUCAAACCCAUGUCCCCUACAUUGGCAGGCGGCUUCUUAACCACUGCGCCACCAGGGAAGCCCUGGAAGGUGGGCCACUGGGGAAGUCCCGAUGUUGUCUAUUUUAAUGGGGGUUCUCAAGCUUCAUCUUCAGCAGCUUCAUCUGCAGAAUUUAUUAAAAAGCAGAUGCCUGUGUCUACCUCUGAUGAGUCUAUUGUGUAUCUGUGGUGGGUUCAGGCAUCUGUAUUUUUUAUAAGCUCCUCAGAAAAUCCUGGUAUAUACACUAUGUUUGCCAAUAAACCUCAUGUGUUCUAUUCCAGUAAUUUUCAAAGAGCCACGUCCUGAACACUUUUUUUUUUUUUUUUUUUACAGUACACGGGCCUCUCACUGUUGUGGCCUCUCCCGUUGCAGAGCACAGGCUCUGGACGCGCAGGCUCAGCGCCCAUGGCUCACGGGCCCAGCCGCUCCGCGGCAUGUGGGAUCUUCCCGGACCGGGGCACGAACCUGUGUCCCCUGCAUCGGCAGGCGGACUCUCAACCACUGCGCCACCAGGGAAGCCCCUGAACACUUUCAUCAUGAAAAUUGUGAGACCACAAUAAAGGCUCCCGCCUGUGUUUUCUCCUUGCCCCUGCGUCUUGCCGAAUCUGAUGCUUCCACAUGUGGACUUGCACAGCGUGACUGCCCUCUCCUCUUGGGAACAGCGAAAUGCAUUCUCUCUGGUAACAAAUGAAGACGGAGUGGCAAGGCUUGCUGUGAAGGGAACGCGAGCCAGCACAGGGCACACAGUCGUGUGUUGCCACGGAAGUUUCGGCAACGGCUGCACCACCGAAGGCAAUUUCUAAGAGAUGGUUGUAAAACGUGACCAAAUCCCCUGCAAGCUAGAGUGCAUCACAGAUUGGCACAAAUGUUUAUGGAGGUCAGAAGUCAGAUUACAUGUCCUCUUAUUUCCAUAGCAAACCUCUCUUUAUUCCACACGUAUGGAACCAAGAUCCGUUUUCCUCACCUGAUCCUUCACCAGGCCAAAGGUUUGGAUACCUGUUUGAGGCCAAGAUAGAGAAAAAGAGGCUGAGUUGGAAAACCUUGUGACCUGGAGGGAGAGAACGGGCUCCAGAAGAAGGGCAUUAGGCCAAGUGUGAAAAAGAAAUGAAAACAUGAAGAGUGUUAAUGAAUGUGAGAUGCCGGAAUAAAGGAGUCUUUGCUCUUCAGCUAUGUGGCAUUGAUCCCACUAAUGGUUUGGCUUCUGAGGAGAGAAAAUCUUUGAUCCGCUCAGUGAGUUGACGGUCACAGGACAGGUGGUCAUGUCAUGCAGGCCAAGUCCGAAGGCCUGGGAAGCAGGGCAUCUCCAGAAGACAGUUUCCAUAAGCGUACAAUCCAGACCAGGGACAAGACUGAUACAUUCACGAAAGUUCUCCUGUCUACUAGAUGAUAAUGGGAUGAAAAUAAUGCAUAUAAAACAAUUAAUAUACUAUUAAUAAGUUACCCCUUCCUGGGAACACAGUGCCUUCAGCCAGUGAAGAUGCUCCAGGUCAGGUGCCUUGACCAUCCAUAGGGAAGUUGGGGGAAGCGAAACCAAUAAUAACAGAGUGUAGGACCCAGGCCUCCUGAACCAGCAUGGACCCUGCCACCCCUGUGGCUUUUCUGAAGAUGCCACCCAAAUGAAGAAAUUGAGGUUGAGACGCGCGAAGUGACUUGUCCGAGUUGACUCUGCUGGUCACAAGGCGCCAGGCUUCCCUACCCAAAUCCGCAGUGAUGUCUCUUUCACUUGGAGGAUAAAGGAAGAACUGAAUUCAAGUUAUUGCAGACUACAGAAUCGCUACCAUUGUAGUGACUGUAGUCUGCAAUUACUACAUCUCUUAGAUAUUGAAAAUCACAUGUAGUAAAAGACUAAUCAUACACAUUUGUUGGGUGUUAGUACCACAGUCCAUCUCCGUAUUUAAGCAGAGUUGAUUGUUUAGAAAAUGUGAGAAAUAAACAGAGAGCUGUUUUCUGGGUCAGUGAGGGUAACCCCUACCUUGGAAGGAUUAAUGCAGGCAUUUAUAGGCAGUGAAUAAGAAUACUGUGGCCGUGUAUGUGGAGGAUCCAGGCAUAGCAUUUAGAAGUUACAGGAACUUGAAAAAUUUCCCUCCACUCUCACCAACUUGUUCAAUGAACUUGACUGGGUGCUUUACAGGGAAGGACUGUACUGAAGGCCACCAAGAUGGACGACACUUGUCCCCUCCCAGACCAUGCGGAAUUAGGAAGACGCCACGGAGAGCGCCAGCCGCAGCUGCGGAAGUGCCUCCCAUGGUGUCCAGCGGGCCAGUUCUCAGGGGACUUAGUUUAUUUAUUUUUUAUUCAAGUAUAGUUGAUUUACAAUAUCGUGUUAGUUUCAGUUAUUCAUACAUACAUAUAUAUGUGUGUAUAUAUAUAAGUAUAUAUAUCCUUUUUCAGAUUCUUUUCCCUUAUAGUACAGAAUACUGAGUAUAGUUCCCUGCACUAUACAGUAGUCCUUGUUGGUCGUCUGCUUCAUGUAUAGUAUGUGUACAUGUCAAUCAGGGGAUUUAUUGAAGAGCAGAAUGGACAGAAUGGAAAUCCAAAUGUCCUCAGACCAUGUUUUCUCUACAGCCUAUGUGAAGAUAUCCUAGGUACUUACUUCAGUUAUUUGCCUCUAAAUAUUUUGUUUGUGGAGCAACGAGACAGAAUUGGGUGAGAGAACCACUGCGCUCUACACGAGGAGGCCUGAGCUCUGAUCGCCAUCACAUUGCCAACUUGGGGAGCCUUUGGGGAGGCCACUUGAAUUGAACGGCAGGACAAACUGGUCAGGAUCCCACGAGAAUGCCUCGUGUAAGCCUCGCCUCUGCUGCGCCUGGCGUAACCUCCAUCGCGUUGCUUAAUCAACCCAGGCCUCGGUUUCCUCAUCUCUACAAUGGGGGCACCGUCAGAGCCCAGCUCACAGGUGAUGGUGAGGCUCAAAGAAGCUGAAAAUCAAACAGGGAGGGCUUCCCUGGUGGCGCAGUGGUUGAGAGUCCACCUGCCGAUGCAGGGGACACGGGUUCGAGCCCUGGUCUGGGAGGAUCCCACAUGCCGCGGAGCGGCUAGGCCCGUGAGCCACGACUACUGAGCCUGCGUGUCUGGAGCCUGUGCUCCGCAACGAGAGAGGCCGUGAUAGUGAGAGGCCCGCGCACCACGAUGAAGAGUGGGCCCCGCUCGCCACAACUAGAGAAAGCCCUCGCACAGAAAGGAAGACCCAAUGCAGCAAAAAUAAAUUAAGUAAUAAACUCCUACCCUCAACAUCUUAAAAAAAAAAAAAAAGCUGAAUAAAAAGAAUAGAAUAAACAGGGAGCCCUGUACGUAGCACUGGGGGUGCCAGGCACUGUCCCACCACUUUCUGUAAUGUUGUUCUUCACUUCUCAGAGCUCCACCUUCCUUAUCUCUACGGUGUACAGAUAAUAGCUGCCUUACUUCCUCUUAUAAGAUUCUGCUGAGGGCCAAGAAAAAACCCUCCAAUAAUUGUGAUUUCAAGAAGAAUAUUCUUUUAAAAUGACAAAGAUAUAUUUGUGGUGAUAAUUAUUAUCAGCAUCACUAGCCUCGGAAUUCCCCUGCUUUACAGAAUCCUUGAGGAGGAGUGCAGGAACCGCAGUGGGCAGAAGGAUCGCAUUUCACAGAAAUACUUGUCCAGCAACGCGUCACCCCUCCCGGCCACCCGCUGCCCGUGGAGCCGUGCUGAGCCGUGACCGUGGAACACGGACAGCCCGAUGCUGAGGACCACCAGUGAUGUGGAAAAGUGGGGACGAGCUAAUGAAAAUGGAAGAGGUCCUAUUUUUUAAAAACUUUUUAUUGGAGUAGAGUUGAUUUACGAUGUCGUGUUAGUUUCAGGUGUACAGCAAAGUGAGUCAGUUAUACAUAUACAUAGAUCCACUCUUUGUUUUAGAUUCUUUUUUCCCAUAUAGGUCAUUACAGAGCAUUGAAUAGAGCUCCCUGUGCUAUAAAGUAGGUCCUUAUUAGUUAUCUACGGAAGACGUCCAAUUUAAGCCUUGUUCAUGUAUUGGAAAUCUGUGCUGCAGUCUAUCCUCCAGUCAUACACCACGCUCAGCAUCGUCUGCCCACGAGAACUUUGGGAGCGUAUUGACUCAAUUGCCCCCACGAGUGAUGAGCUCCCUGUCUUUGCCCGACGGCUCCGGGUCAGUGGGGGCUGCCUGUUGCCCCCUGGCAGACAUGAUGGGGAGGCUCAAACAAGCCUAUUAAUAUUCAGUCAAAUGCCAAUAAAGUCCUUGUCCAAUGCGAUUCAUUCACCAUAUUGAUCUACCCUUUUCAAGCCGAGAGCAAAUUAAGUGAGCAUUGGCUUGUGUUACCUUGAAAACGCAGUACAGGUAAAAAUCAAACUGUAAUCUUCUGUGUACUUGGAAGAUAAAUUGGAAAGGCUAUUCUUUUGGCGCUCAAUUUAGUGUGCCCAACCAUUGUCUGGGGGAAAUCAGGGCCUCUGGCGGCACGGCAGGGUUUAUCAGAAGGUGUCUCUGGAUUUGAAAAUGAUCUGAUGAACAAUUCUGCUUGUGUUCUGCAUCUUCUAAAAAUAGUGUCAACAAAUUGGCACCAUCUCCUAAAUAUCUGCUUACAUCCUAUUUUAGCAGCCAACUCAUGGGUUGCCAGGAGUUUAUAAUAUACCCAUCUCAAAAUAAAAAUGCCUCUCCCGCAAAUUGUAAGAGAGAUCAACAUCAGAUUGGUAGCAGGACAAGGGUUCUCAUGGUGCCCAGUGGGGUGAAAGUCUCUCGGAAACUUGCAAACCCCUAUUUAUGGGCUGAAAAGCUCAUAGAGUUUCUUUUUAAGGAUGUUUUCUUUUAAGGAUGUCUUUAAGGAUGUUGAUAUUUUCUUUUAAGGAUGUUGAAACAUUGCUGUCUUCAUGUUCAACUCGAGGGCCAUUGGAGACUUUGGCCUCAGAGAAGUGGGAGAAGGAGGCGCCUUCAGGAUUCACGUCCACCAUCAUCUCCUGAAGAUGACGAGGGGAUGAGGAGUGAAGGGCCUGCUUUCACAUCCAGCUGGGAUGUGACCGGCUUCCAGCCUGGAGCUCUGAGCAUCCCUCAGGCUCUCAAGGCAUCGCAACAGAUGUGCAGGGAACACAGCGGGUACCAAGCCCACAGGCCUGCCCCUUCCCAAACUCCUGCCUCACGGAGCUUUGUAAAGGAGAUCAUCACCACGGAAUUGAAGAUACAGUCAGGGUUUAAUUAAGCUUGGACUUGAGGCUUCAAGUUGUUUGAAAACUUGAGAUUUACAACAAAACGACCCAAGUAACCUAUAUAACCAGUGAAACAGCCAUCACUCAGAGCAUGCUGAAACAAAAAUCUUUAAGCUGUGUUUGGGAUUCCCCUGGUGGCGCAGUGGUUAAGAAUCCACCUGCCAAUGCAGGGGACAUGGGUUUGAGCCCUGGUCCAGGAAGAUCCCACAUGCCGCAGAGCAACUAAGCCCACGUGCCACAACUACUGAGCCUGCGCUCCAGAGCCCUCGAGCCACAACUACUGAAGCCCGCGCACCUAGAGCCCAUGCUCCACAACAAGAGAAGCCCUGCUUGCCGCAACUAGAGAAAGCCCAUGCACAGCAACGAAGACCCAACGCAGCCAAAAGUAAAUUAAAAAAAAAAAUCUUUAAGCUGUGUUUACACAUCUUCUGUUGGACAGUGGUUACCACGGAACAUUGGAUGGUAACUCAUCGUCCUGACGGUCAAACCUAGUGAGCUCCCUGACUCGUGGUGCUGAGGGAAACCGCCCCCACCCCUCUAUUUCCUCUGAAUGACGUGAUGGGUCCCCUGCGCACUAGAAGCUUCUGGUAUGUUUAAAUGAGCUACGGGCUUAGACUUGAACACUUGGGGUGAAGGCUGGCACAGAACACUCUCAUUCUCCCUGAAGCAGAAGUUACUACCGGACACCCAAUCCCUCCAGCUCCACAGAGGCCUGCCCUUGACUCACGGCAGACACUCUGUAUCAAUAUGGCAACCGAAGCUGCCUCUGUCCCAGCGACUUCUUUAUGUGUGGAAUUUCUCCAAGAGGCAUGAAAAAUAAGUAACUACAUCACAACUUAGUGUCUUUUCUUCUCUGUGUCCACUGUGUUUGAUUAGUCUUCAGCUCCGGGUCCAAAUAUUACUAGGUUACAACGUCUGUGGGCUGUUCAGCUUCCAGCAACCUUUUAGACAGGCCAUUUAAAGAUUCGCGGGACACCAUCCAUAAAAGUCAUUGGUGUUGCCUCUUUGGAUGAGGAACAAGAAAUAGUCAAGAUUUUCCAGUUCAAGUUCUUCAUUUUACGCAUGGGAAAAGCGAGGCCCCCAAUGAUACAGUGACUGGUGCAAAGCUACUCCAUUUCCUGCAGAAGACCUGGGUCUGGAAGCUGGCUCUCCUGAAUCUCACUUCUGCUUUUGUCCCACACGUGGCAGGGAUGCACAUUCUUAAUUAUUCUAUUAAGCAGAUACAGUCAGCACUAAAAUUUGCACCAGGUCCAAUGUUAGCAAGUAUUAGCACUAGUCAAUCAGUGCUAUUAUCAUCCCCAUGCCACCGAGGAGGAGCCCUAGAAAGGCUACUGACUUGCAAGUCAGAGUUUGUAAAAGGCUGUGUGCCCUGAGAGCACAGCAGAUCUACCCCAGAGUCCGUGCUCCAACUGCCCCCAUGCUCUGUCAUCUCCACCGUUCCACGCUACAAGCAGGUAUAUAGGUGUCGGCCCUUGUCACAAAUUCCAAAUGAGAUAUAAUAUCUCCAUCUGGAAAGACAGACCUUAGCUCAACAGGCAACAUUAAAUCAAGGUUUGACUACGUAUCAGCUUGAAAGUUACUUUUCAGGAAUGGUUUUCUUUCCAAUGUUAAGAUUCUUUGAGAAUCUCAAAAAAAAUCAUUUCUUUCUCCUCAUUGUUGCCUUGUGGGCCGAAGGAAUGUUAAUAUGUUUAUCUUCGGUGUCCUAAUUAUUCAAAGGGUUAUGGGAAGAGAGAGCUAGGCUGUUUUCCCAUGCAAGUCUCAGCCAGGAGAGUUCUUUUUUCCCCUUGAUAUAGAAAGCAAAGCAAGAAACAUAAUAAUUCUCAAAGAUGACUCACACCUGCUAAGAUUCCUGUGUUAUGGGCAAAUAUCAAAGCCACCAGAUACUUCGGCUGUUUUUGGCUUCCUCAGCUAUUUUGUGAUAGAAUGGAGGGGAAUGAUGUGAAGAGAGUCAUCUGAUUUGAGGUUGGAGUGAAGAGCACAGGCUCUGGACGCGCAGGCUCAGCGGCCAUGGCUCACGGGCCCAGCCGCCCAACAGCAUGUGGGAUCUUCCCAGACCGGGGCACGAACCCGCAUCCCCUGCAUCGGCAGGCGGGCUCUCAACCACUGCGCCACCAGGGAAGCCCAGGGCUGUCACUUCAGCAGAGUGCCAGCCUCUGGGACUUUGGUAGAAGAGGAUGCAAGUCACCCGUGCCUCUGAUUUUGGCCAUGAGAACGAGAGAAGACAUUGCAACCACAGAAAAAGAUACCUGGCUGCUUGGCCUUUCACUGGAGUCCGAGUGAAGGACUGCCCUCUGAGGCAGCGUUGACAUCUAAGGAAAGGCAUUCACAGCACUCUGUGCUGAACUCGGACUGGACCUGGAAACCCAGACAACCCUUCCAAAGCCUUCCAAAACCUUAUCAUCUUCCAGAACGCUUUACACACAGAAGAUAAAAAUGUAGUUCCGUAUAACACCGCAAGAAAACUUUUGCAAAGGUUAUUACAAAGUAUUUAGCAGAGCUCCCUGUGCUAUACGGCAACUCUUCAUCAGCCACGUGUGGGCUGAGAGGAAGGUUUGGAAUUCUGAGGAUUCCCAGGCUUGGAGUGAAUCCACACCACAUCCUUCUCACGGGACCUUCACUGGGUGCAUGGUAGCAGCACCAAGGCAGGUAAGCCCUCCCGAUGUGCGCGGUACCUGGACCAUGUACGUGGCCGGGCCCUUCUGGAGGCUUGGGGAUGUGCAGGAUGGCCAAGGGAGCUUCCUAGGGCACAGGAGGCUCCUCCUGGAUGCGAGGCAGAAGCAAAUCAAAGCCUGCUCCUCUUGUAGAAGAAUGGAGAGCGAUCUCCAGAGGCUCAGGGAGUGGCUGCUCAUGUGUAAAGUCUGGAGCCUUAAUAAUAAUAUUCGUGUGCUGCUUUAUUAAGCACUUUAACCUUUACACUCUAAUUCUCAUGAUAAACACAUUACGUUUGUGAUGUUAUUCCCAAACUCUGGAGGAUAACUGGCUUACUCUAGGCUUUAGAAAGUGAGUGUGCAGCAAAAUCAGGACAGAGACCCAAGAUUGUUGCCUCUUAGUUUAUGCUUUUCCAAGAAACAAUAGUUACUCUGCUGCUGCACUAUCCUUACCUCAGAAAACUCCUGCUGUAGCAACGUUUGUUGUUGAGGUCUCUGAAAUACCUGUUUUGUUCUGAACCUCUGAACUUUCUUGGCUCAAAAUUGGAAUGACAGCCUUUAACACAUGAUUAUCAUUUUAUAGCAAUGUAUGCAUUUAGAAUUCUGAGUUAUGAUUCACCCAGUUAUCUGAAUUAAAAUAUUUUCCUUGCCUUCACUGUUGGGCUUUGAAGUACCACCGUAAACCCACCUACCCCUUUCCCCAGAGUCUGGGGUAGGCGCUUCAAUAUGCCCCCAUAGCACCAUAAGAUCCCCCACCAUAAUGCCCAUCACAAGAUACUGGACCUUCCAGUUUAUGCGUCUGCUUCUACCCAGCGGUGAGCUCAGGGAUUUUAUGCUUGGAGGAGAAAUUAUUUCGUAUUCAUCUUUUAUCCCAGGGCUUAUUACAGUGGCAUUCAAGGGUCAGUCAAUAAAUACUACUGAAUGACUAAACAAACAGGGUAAAUAAAUGCCUUAGGAGAAUCGGUCACCCCCCGGUCUGCCAUAUCUCACCACGACUACAUUGAUACAUUGAUUAAUAAUUUGCCUGGAAAGAAGCUCCUUUAUGAUGGUGUGGAUGAUAGUAAAAGUAAUAUUUUCAUCGUGUUAUUAAGUGCAGUGUUGUUCAACCUGUCUGCUUAUCUGCCAACGUACGGUCCGGGGCAGAGAUCACGUCAGCUUUGCUGUCGUAUCUACAGCAGUUUGGAGAGCUAUUGGCACACGGUAGUGGCUUACUUUCCUGGGUGAAUAAAUACCUUUUUAUGAUGAUUAUAUAAUACAUGUACAGUUCUGUAAACAUUAUAUAUAUUAGUCAUGCUUUACAUGUACAUAUAUAAAUUUAAACUUAUCCAUCUUUUUCUUCAUUGAUUGUGAUUUUUGUCACUUGUUUAAUAAUUGCUUCUUUUCCCCAAGGCACUGUCUUUAUUUUUUGGUAAGAUUUGGGGGUUUGAUUUUUAUAUAUUGAUAGUUAAUUCAUUAAAAUUGUUUUCUUUUUGUGGUGUGAGGUAGGUAUCAGAUUUUUUAAUGUAUGCGUAAACAAUUUUCCCAGCUCUAUUUAUUGAAUAGCUUAGCUUUUCUUCUCUGAUUUGCAAUGUCAUUUAUCAAUGUUCUAUAAUUAAUAGGCAUUCUUUUCUAUUAUAUAUGUUGGCAUUGAUAUCAUAGUGUUUCCAUUACUACAGUUUUGUAAGUCUUGAUAACUAGCAAGAAAUGUUUUGUUCCUUUUCUUCUCUCUUCUUGAUCUUUCUUAGAGGUUUUUAAAAAGCAAAUUUUUCUUUUGUUGAAGCUCAUUUGCUUUUUUCUUUUUCCAUUUUAUUGAUUUCCUACCUAUUAUGUCUGCCCUAUUUUUAAAAGCUUAUUCUAAGCUUUUAAGUUCUUCAGACAUUUACUUUUAAUCUUUUUCUUUUAUUAAUGCACAUAUUUCCCCUUUUUCUUGGUCCUACUAUAGAUGACUAUGAUGUAGUACACUUUUUGUUAUUCAAUUCUAAAUAUGUCUUAGUUUCCUAUGUGAAUAACUUAUUAUCUUGAGUAAUUUGAGUCCAUUUAAGUCUGUGCUUGUUGCUGAUUUCUAAUUACUUGGAGUUUUGCUCUGAGAAUCUGAUCUGAAUGUGUAUCACUCACACUCUAGCAGGAAGCAGAUGCCGUACUCAAGUGGGUAAUUGAGGAAGGUUUAAUGAAGAGGCUGCUCAUAAAUAUGUAAGCAGGGUUACAGGAAACCAAGAGCGAUGGUUGAAAUGCUCUAAACUAGCAAGAUGGAGGAGCCACUACUACCCUCAGGACUGAAGGUUAAGGAGAGGCAAAGUUGACCAGAACCCAGAGAUAGUAGCUGUUGUUGUAGCAGAGGGUUUCCUGACAGGGGCUGUGGUCUUGGUAGAGAAACUUACUUCAACAUAUAACGACCCAUCACAGAGGAAAGCAGGAAAUAAGUACCCUGAUCUCACUCUGUCGUCCAGUCCAGUCUCCACCAAUGCUUCCCAUUUAUGCGAAACAACCAGAAGCCAGAUGGCAAAGGGAACCAUGGACGAAGUCCAGCCAGUUCAGCCUCCCAGGGUAGGGGCGGAUGGAAGAAAGGCAGAGGGUGGGUUUGGAUGGUAUAAUGAAAGUGUCCAGUACUGUUCAUUCUUUCUGUCCCCUCCAAAGCUUCACUCACCUGUUUGGCAUUCAAGUAAAAUAAAUGUGUUCUCAAUGCCGGGGACAACAAAGUUCCAUGAGCUGCCGUAUAGAUUGAGUGAUGUCAAUACCUGAAAGAUAAAAUGUUAGCCACCCCGAGCUGCCCACCAUCAACUGAAUGUUUUUUCCUGAUAUUCCAAAUCAUAAGAUUGGAUAUUAACAGUAAUAUUAAAUUAUCCCUUGGAAAUGGUAUAUAUCAGAACAGGCACAAGUUAAUUGCACAGGUAGCUGGGUCAUUUACUCACCUGGAAACUGUGCCUAUUUCUGCGUCUACUGCUUUGCCCUCAACACACACCUGUGGCCUCAUGAGGGUUCCCUAUGAAAAGUUAACAAAAAGGGUAGGUCUGGUUUGCAGAUGGAUUUGCAUAAUAUACACAUAGAUAACCAAAUGUAUUACAGCUCCACACAGGGAUGGGUGGAUUUGGGAAAAAAACAGUGAUGAUGGGCAAUCACUUGGGGGGUCAAGCACUAAGUUUCCACCGGGGUCAAUAGGAGGCCAGGAACUGCUUACCAACUUGAGGCUAGUUACUGGCAGAAGACGGCAUGGCUUCAUUCCCAAACCCAAGGGACCAUGCAGUGAUUCUUUCUUUGGGAUUUUUCAGUUGCUGUUAAAAUAUAUUAUCUGCCUCACACACAGGAAAUACCGUAGCAUAUCUUGACACACAGCAUAAGUGACAAGACAGCUUGAACUACUUCCUGGACAUGAUACGGAAGUCUAAGCAGUAGACCUUCUUGUUCUUUACUCUUUCCACCCGCUCCCCCCCCCCCCGCAAACUGGCCAUCUUAAGCGUUACUCAAUAAUCAUGUUACAAGAUCAUGCUUACAUAUCCUAUAUGUAGCCUUCAGAAAGCAAAAAGUCCAUCAACAGUUACGUCUAUUUCUUUGAAAUGGGUGCUACAAAGUGUCACAGUAUAUUUUCCCUUUAGAGUGAAAGUGAAAGACUUUAGGUCUCCAAACUCUGCGGGGCUUCUCUCUUACCCUCUCCCCUUGCUACUUCCUCUCAUCAGCUCCAGUGAGCAAAACGUCAUCAACGUGAUGUGGUACCUGAUGUGAUGUUAAGACAUUCAAUUCCCUCUGGUCUGUCUUAGGACCAAAGCAGGAGAGAUGGAUGAUGUAGGGGUGCUGAUGCUCCUGCCACAAGAGAAUGAGUUGUUUCUGAUCAUCUUUACUGAUAGAAAUGGGGAAAAUUAUCAAUAUAUGCCAGGUCAACAGCCGUAUACUCGGUGGUAGAGCAAUGUUGAUUUGCUUCGGUAAAGAUACCACAUGUGGAACUACAGUUAUGAUGGACAUGAGCACCUGAUUAAGUGUGCGAUAACCCACAGUCAUCCUCCAAGACUCAUCUGGGUUUUGCACCAUUCAAACGGGUAAGGCAGAGGGACUUCCCUGGUGGUCCAGUGGUUAAGACUCUGCCUUCCAAUGCAUGGGGUGCAGGUUCGAUCCCUGCUUGGGGAGCUAAGAUCCCACAAGCCUUAGAGCCAAAAAAACAAAACAUAAAAACAGAAGCAAUAUUGUAACAAAUAAAGACUCCUGUUUUCCUCCUGUUUGUACAAUGUUUUUUUUUAAAAAUCCUUGUGACAGAGCUCUCCUGGUGUGAACCGCAUGGGUUAUGGCUUCAAUAGCAACCAGAAGUGACAGCUCCUAGGUCCUCAUUGGGAGAAGCUUCCUACAUGGGGGAAAGAGGGCUGGAAGGCAUGAACCCUGAGUGGGAGGAGGGCGCUGCAGCAUCACCGGUGCAGGUGAGGGUCAUGGCAAGGAUGCUGGCCGCCAGAGCCACACUCGGUCUCAGUUAUGCUCACCUUUUUGCUGAAGAACAGGGGGAAGCCUGUCCCCUUUCCCUCUCCGAAUCGAUCCAGAGAAGGUGGCCCUGGCCGGCUUGCCACUCUGUAGAGCCUCGAGUUGGCCACCAGGAGGCAGUGCUGUCUCUUCUCAGACGCAAGGGUAGAAGGUCCCGCCUGGCUCGGAGGGAGGAACCUGUCGCCACCCUGGGCUGUUCUGAUCGCAAGCAUUUAAGCGGAGCCUAGAGGAUCCCCACCCCCGCCCCGGUCAGGCAGGUGGGGAUUGAAGUUUCCCUCCAGAAGGUAUUUGCCUGGUUCACCAGAAAACACCUGACGUCCAAUGCUUUAGUCCAAUGAGUUCCCUGAAGGCAGGGCUACUGCCUCUUCAUCUCUCUCCUAGCAGGGCGUGUGCUUAACUGACAAGUCGUCCAGUGAGUGAUUUAAUACAUAAAGCAUCUGACCUUUGCUAAGACGCUGCUUUCGGAGGCAAGGAACCAGGUUUUCAUGUCGGCCCUCCUACCGGUCUGUCGCUGAGAAAUAACUUCUGUCUGAGCCUUCACUCCCCGUGUGUGACUCACUCGCAGAUGUAAAGUCGAACUCUGCUGAAGGCAGGGACACAGUUACGGAUGCAUGUUUUUGAAAGGAAAAAAUGGUUGUGAAUGUGAAAUCCACGUUUCUUCCUUGACUGUUUUAGAUCUUAUAGGGUAGAGUAAAUUUCUUAUGUGAAG